CAACUAAAGAAGAGAGGGAGUGUGGUGAUGUAGUGUCCACAACUAAAGAAGAGAGGGUGUGUGGGGAUGUAGUGGUGAUGUAGUGGUGAUGUAGUGUCCACAACUAAAGAAGAGAGGGAGUGUGGGGAUGUAGUGGUGAUGUAGUGGUGAUGUAGUGUCCACAACUAAAGAAGAGAGGGAGUGUGGGGAUGUAGUGGUGAUGUAGUGGUGAUGUAGUGUCCACAACUAAAGAAGAGAGGGAGUGUGGUGAUGUAGUGUCCACAACUAAAGAAGAGAGGGAGUGUAGUGAUGUAGUGUCCACAACUAAAGAAGAGAGGGAGUGUGGUGAUGUAG
Molecule: long non-coding RNA, 333 nt
Organism: Oncorhynchus tshawytscha (Chinook salmon)
Lineage: Eukaryota; Metazoa; Chordata; Actinopteri; Salmoniformes; Salmonidae
Source: Ensembl